Molecule: long non-coding RNA, 2032 nt
Filed under: Capra hircus (goat)
Lineage: Eukaryota; Metazoa; Chordata; Mammalia; Artiodactyla; Bovidae
Description: lncRNA (ENSCHIG00010000753.1)
Source: RNAcentral
CUGGUAUUCCCAUCUCUUUCAGAAUUUUCCACAGUUUAUCAUGAUCCACAUAAUAAUGUUUCUAUAAUCCAGCUUAUCUAAUAUUCUAUUCAAAAUUUUUAUUUUCUUUUUUAACAGAAUUUAGUUUCUAGUUCUAAAAUGAUGACUUAUUAUUUAUUACAUAUUUUAAAACCUCCAAAUCUCAGUGCAAAAAUAUUAAUGUGUACUUCCACGUGGAUACUUUGCAAAUACACAGAAAGCUUCUGUAAAAAAACUCUAACAGUAACAGCAUUAUAUAAACAUUUGUAGUAAUGUUUAUUUAUGGACAUAGGGUUAAAUUCUGCUUCAAAAAGCAGGGAGAUCAGAAAGUUAAAAAAAUAAUUAAUACACGAUUCAAUUCUGGAAGUAACAAUGAUGACAGGCUUUUUAUAAACUACAGUUAAAAUGGAACAUUCAAAGUGAUACAUUUAUGUUCUCUGAAAGAUCUAUGAUCUUGGUCACAAGAUACAUUGGUUUUUUAGUGUAAAAUCAUUUACUGAAACUGUAAAUUUUGUUUUCAAAAGUUAUUUCUGUCAUUGUUUUAACCUUAAUUUAUUUCUUAAUUUAAUAGCCUUACCUUUCUUCUGCCAAAGGAAAAGUCUUAGUUCUAGUUCUUUCAUGGUGCUUUUAGAUUUUUCUUGAACUCUGAAGAUAUUAGGACAAAAUUUCCUAUGCAUGUACAUAAUCAAAAUUCCUAGCACAAUGUCAUGCACAGGGACUUAAUUUGUGUUUUAAAUUAUCUAUAUUGGUUCAAUUUGGUGCCAUGAAAAUUGUUUGAGCAUUGUGCUAGACAUUGUGGGGAAUUUUUUAGAAACCUAAUUUUAGUCAAGGAGGAGGUCAGAAAGUUUAAAAAAUAAAUAAUUAGAUCACAAUGCAAUUUUGGAAGCAACAUAAAGUACACAAAUAUAGACAGAAAGGAAUGAUGAAUUUUUCUGCGGUUGUAAGACAGAGCUUCAUGGAAGGAAAAAAAAAAAAAAAAAGCGUUAAAGGCAAAAUAAGAUGUCUGUGCUUCCCUGGUAGCUCAGUUGGUAACGAAUCUGGUCUACAAUGCAGGAGACUGAGGUUCGAUCCCUGGGUAGGGAUGAACCCCUAGAGAAGGAAAUGGCAACCCACUCCGAUAUUCUUGUGUGGAGAAUCUCAUGGACAGAGAAGCCCGGCAGGCUUCAGUCCAUGGGGUUGCCGAGAAUCAGACACAACUCAGCGACUAGACCACUAUUGUACUGUCACUCUUAUGGAAAGAAAAAAAAUUAAUGGUUCCACAUUACUGCAGAGUAAACUGUAGCUUGUAGAGUGGCAAGGUGCAUAUUAUUAAUCAGCAAACAAACAGCUACUUCUUUCAUUUCUAAAAUAGUUGAGCAUUGAAUCAACAAAAUAAAAAGUUAUAAAAGAUACAACAAAUGUAAACCAAUUUCCUAAAAUAUGUUACAACAUAUUCAUAUUGAAUGUCCCAAACUUGAGAGUUGUAAUUUUUUAAAGUUUUAUAAAACUUUAUAAAGUUUUAUCAAAACUUCUUAUAGAUGUUUAUAAUUUUAUAAGCAUUAUCCUUUUGCUCAUUAUUCAUCAAGCCUGAUAUUAAAUUAANNNNNNNNNNNNAUGUUUUAAAUGGCCUGUAAAAUAUUUUUUUAUCAACACUUUCAAAUAACUAGGAGGAAUGGUAUUUGCUUAACAGACUAAAGGCCUAAACUAAUAAAUACAGCCAGUAAUUUACAGAACCCACUUUACGUGGUAGAGCUAACAAGGAUGAUCACAUUAAUCAUUCUUAUCCAACAGAUGAAACUUUCUAGUAUAAAACAUGCUAUGAGAGAAAAAUGCGUAAAAAUGGUUAAAUUUAUUUCCAGAAUUGCUUAUAUGUGGAAUCCCCAAAAAAGAAUACAAAUGAAUUUACCUACAAAACAUAUAUAGAAUUAUAGAUGUAUAAAACAAAUUUAGGAGAAAGAAAUGGCACCCCACUCCAGUAUUCUUGCCUGGAGAAUCUCAAAGACAGAGGAGCCUGGCGGGCUACAGUCCAUGGGGU